Molecule: long non-coding RNA, 1486 nt
Organism: Bubalus bubalis (water buffalo)
Lineage: Eukaryota; Metazoa; Chordata; Mammalia; Artiodactyla; Bovidae
Exons: 3
Source: RefSeq, a predicted model, not a curated record
AACCUGGGCUUGCAACUGGCAUCUGAAGUGAAGAGUGGUUUUGUGGGCUUGAGGCAUCUAGCUGUGGAGUCUGACUCCAUCUCUAAGUGCAGUGUCAGAGCUGAGUUCUCCAACACCCUGCUGGCAUCUGAGAAUUGCUUGUUGGUGUGGAAGCCUCCAAACACACAUGUUGGAAUUGGAUUCAGGAACCCUUUCACUCAUUCAUUUAUUUUAUCACUAAUUUAGUAAACGUUUACCGAGUGCCUGCUUAUAUUCCAGUCAGUGUUCUAAGUGCUGGUGAUAUAAUAAUUAAUGAAGUGUCAUCCUCUCAGGUUUUAUGGUAGCAAUGAAGAUGUGCGGGCAUGUUCAAUCACGUCUGACUCUUUGCAACCCCAUGGACUGUAGCCUCCUCUGUCCAUAGGAUUAUCCAGGUGCGACGAAUGACUGAGGAGAUAACACUUAGGCCCAGCCCUUCACACCAGAUAGAGACAACUCUCAAGGCCAUCACAACGCCAGAUCGCCAAGUGAGAUCAGCUGAGGCCUGCGCUGUAAACGCACGAUUGGUCAGCUCCUGCCUCUUGGUGCCUCCACCCUUAAUUCUUUACAGGGACCUUGUGCACGCUUUCUGGCUUGCUUGCUCUGCCUGGACCAUUGUCUGAGAAACUCAGGGAGAAAGGACUUCAGUGAUUUGUAUUUCAGGGCACACCCAGAAUCCUUUUGUGGCAGCCCAUGGUGUGCUGCAUACAAAUUGGGUAGCUCAGGGAUAUACUUCUAGGAGUAUAUUCUCAGAUGACCAAUAAAGGAUAUCAGGGAAAUAUACAGAUCUUAAGCAGUUUAACUGGAUAAAGGAACUAAGACUUACAGCCUCAGCAAUUUGUGACAUUUGUAAAGCCAACAGCAAUGAAAUUUGCAAGCUGGAAAACAGAUGGACCUGUAGUAACUGGCUGAGCAUACCUGAAAAAGAGGAAUCCUAAGGAAGUGGUGUUCUGAGGCCUGAGAAGCCUCCUGAUUCAAAGCAGAGAAUUAUCAAGAGAGUCAGGAGUAGGUAACACCACGUGCUUCCGGAAAUAAAAGUGAAGCGAGAGCAGCUAAAAUGAAGAAAACUGGGGGAAACUGCAAAGUAGUUGAAACUCUAGUCCCUCUUCCCUGCUAUCCCACUGGAUAGAAGACAAAGGACUCAUUUCCUGGAAAAGGUAAGACUGAGGAUCUUCGGAAUGAGCAUCAAGUGCAAUGAAUGAAAAUGUCGGUAUCACAUAGACAGUAGGAGAUGCAGUGACUAGAUGCAUCUGCAGGCUGGGUUAAAGUCCCCAGCUUUCUUUUUCUGUUGAACUCCCAGAAUUCUUACAGCUAGAACUUUACCCACCAAGUAGGAAAUGAAGAGAACAUUCUGGGGAAGGUGACCAGCUCAAAAGAAAAGGAAUAAAGACUCUAAUACUUGUGCUUCAUCCCCCUAGUCAAAUUUUAAAGUUCAAAAAUCACACACACAUGUUCAGUGUUUCCACUCAAA